GUUGAAAAAAACUCCUUGUCAAAGCCUGAUCUCGUCAGAUCUCAGAAGCUCAGCAGGGUCGGGCCUGGUUAGUACAUGGAUGGGAGACCACUGAAAAUACCAGGAGCCACA
RNAcentral lists this ribosomal RNA (111 nucleotides) under Periophthalmus magnuspinnatus. Lineage: Eukaryota; Metazoa; Chordata; Actinopteri; Gobiiformes; Gobiidae. The record is from RNAcentral.